GGUUAAGCGACUAAGCGUACACGGUGGAUGCCCUGGCAGUCAGAGGCGAUGAAGGACGUGCUAAUCUGCGAAAAGCGCCGGCGAGGUGAUAUGAACCCUUGACCCGGCGAUGUCCGAAUGGGGAAACCCAGUGUGUUCCGACACACUAUCGUUAACUGAAUACAUAGGUUAACGAGGCGAACCGGGGGAACUGAAACAUCUAAGUACCCGAGGAAAAGAAAUCAACCGAGAUUCCCCAGUAGCGGCGAGCGAACGGGGAGCAGCCCGGAGUCUGAAUCAGCUUGUGUGUUAGUGGAACGGUCUGGAAAGUCCGACGGUACAGGGUGAUAGUCCCGUACACGAAAAUGCACAUGCUGUGAACUCGAAGAGUAGGGCGGGACACGUGGUAUCCUGUCUGAAUAUGGGGGACCAUCCUCCAAGGCUAAAUACUCCUGACUGACCGAUAGUGAACCAGUACCGUGAGGGAAAGGCGAAAAGAACCCCGGCGAGGGGAGUGAAAAAGAACCUGAAACCGUGUACGUACAAGCAGUGGGAGCACCUUCGGGUGUGACUGCGUACCUUUUGUAUAAUGGGUCAGCGACUUAUAUUCUGUAGCAAGGUUAACCGUAUAGGGGAGCCGAAGGGAAACCGAGUCUUAACUGGGCGUUAAGUUGCAGGGUAUAGACCCGAAACCCGGUGAUCUAGCCAUGGGCAGGUUGAAGGUUGGGUAACACUAACUGGAGGACCGAACCGACUAAUGUUGAAAAAUUAGCGGAUGACCUGUGGCUGGGGGUGAAAGGCCAAUCAAACCGGGAGAUAGCUGGUUCUCCCCGAAAGCUAUUUAGGUAGCGCCUCGUGAACUCAUCUUCGGGGUAGAGCACUGUUUCGGCUAGGGGGCCAUCCCGGCUUACCAACCCGAUGCAAACUACGAAUACCGAAGAAUGUUAUCACGGGAGACACACGGCGGGUGCUAACGUCCGUCGUGAAGAGGGAAACAACCCAGACCGCCAGCUAAGGUCCCAAAGUCAUGGUUAAGUGGGAAACGAUGUGGGAAGGCACAGACAGCCAGGAUGUUGGCUUAGAAGCAGCCAUCAUUUAAAGAAAGCGUAAUAGCUCACUGGUCGAGUCGGCCUGCGCGGAAGAUGUAACGGGGCUAAACCAUGCACCGAAGCUGCGGCAGCGACGCUUAUGCGUUGUUGGGUAGGGGAGCGUUCUGUAAGCCGUUGAAGGUGUGCUGUGAGGCAUGCUGGAGGUAUCAGAAGUGCGAAUGCUGACAUAAGUAACGAUAAAGCGGGUGAAAAGCCCGCUCGCCGGAAGACCAAGGGUUCCUGUCCAACGUUAAUCGGGGCAGGGUGAGUCGACCCCUAAGGCGAGGCCGAAAGGCGUAGUCGAUGGGAAACAGGUUAAUAUUCCUGUACUUGGUGUUACUGCGAAGGGGGGACGGAGAAGGCUAUGUCAGCCGGGCGACGGUUGUCCCGGUUUAAGCAUGUAGGCGGAGGUUCCAGGUAAAUCCGGUACCUUAUUAACGCUGAGGUGUGAUGACGAGGCACUACGGUGCUGAAGUGAUAAAUGCCCUGCUUCCAGGAAAAGCCUCUAAGCAUCAGGUAACACGAAAUCGUACCCCAAACCGACACAGGUGGUCAGGUAGAGAAUACCAAGGCGCUUGAGAGAACUCGGGUGAAGGAACUAGGCAAAAUGGUGCCGUAACUUCGGGAGAAGGCACGCUGAUAUGUAGGUGAAGCCCCUGCGGGCGGAGCUGAAAUCAGUCGAAGAUACCAGCUGGCUGCAACUGUUUAUUAAAAACACAGCACUGUGCAAACACGAAAGUGGACGUAUACGGUGUGACGCCUGCCCGGUGCCGGAAGGUUAAUUGAUGGGGUUAGCGGCAACGCGAAGCUCUUGAUCGAAGCCCCGGUAAACGGCGGCCGUAACUAUAACGGUCCUAAGGUAGCGAAAUUCCUUGUCGGGUAAGUUCCGACCUGCACGAAUGGCGUAAUGAUGGCCAGGCUGUCUCCACCCGAGACUCAGUGAAAUUGAACUCGCUGUGAAGAUGCAGUGUACCCGCGGCAAGACGGAAAGACCCCGUGAACCUUUACUAUAGCUUGACACUGAACACUGGUCCUUGAUGUGUAGGAUAGGUGGGAGGCUUUGAAGCGUGGACGCCAGUCUGCGUGGAGCCGCCCUUGAAAUACCACCCUUUAAUGGCUGGUGUUCUAACGUAGACCCGUGAUCCGGGUUGCGGACAGUGUCUGGUGGGUAGUUUGACUGGGGCGGUCUCCUCCCAAAGAGUAACGGAGGAGCACGAAGGUUGGCUAAUCCUGGUCGGACAUCAGGAGGUUAGUGCAAUGGCAUAAGCCAGCUUGACUGCGAGCGUGACGGCGCGAGCAGGUGCGAAAGCAGGUCAUAGUGAUCCGGUGGUUCUGAAUGGAAGGGCCAUCGCUCAACGGAUAAAAGGUACUCCGGGGAUAACAGGCUGAUACCGCCCAAGAGUUCAUAUCGACGGCGGUGUUUGGCACCUCGAUGUCGGCUCAUCACAUCCUGGGGCUGAAGUAGGUCCCAAGGGUAUGGCUGUUCGCCAUUUAAAGUGGUACGCGAGCUGGGUUUAGAACGUCGUGAGACAGUUCGGUCCCUAUCUGCCGUGGGCGCUGGAGAAUUGAGGGGGGCUGCUCCUAGUACGAGAGGACCGGAGUGGACGCAUCACUGGUGUUCGGGUUGUCAUGCCAAUGGCACUGCCCGGUAGCUAAAUGCGGAAGAGAUAAGUGCUGAAAGCAUCUAAGCACGAAACUUGCCCCGAGAUGAGUUCUCCCUGAGACCUUGAGUCUCCUGAAGGAACGUUGAAGACGACGACGUUGAUAGGUCGGGUGUGUAAGCGCAGCGAUGCGUUGAGCUAACCGAUACUAAUGAACCGUGAGGCUUAACCUU
Molecule: ribosomal RNA, 2901 nt
Filed under: Enterobacter hormaechei
Lineage: Bacteria; Pseudomonadati; Pseudomonadota; Gammaproteobacteria; Enterobacterales; Enterobacteriaceae
Description: 23S ribosomal RNA
Rfam family: Bacterial large subunit ribosomal RNA
Source: RNAcentral